Molecule: ribosomal RNA, 253 nt
Filed under: uncultured bacterium
Lineage: Bacteria
Description: partial 16S ribosomal RNA
Rfam family: Bacterial small subunit ribosomal RNA
Source: RNAcentral
UACGUAGGUGGCAAGCGUUGUCCGGAAUUAUUGGGCGUAAAGCGCGCGCAGGCGGUUCUUUAAGUCUGAUGUGAAAGCCCACGGCUCAACCGUGGAGGGUCAUUGGAAACUGGAGAACUUGAGUACAGAAGAGGAAAGUGGAAUUCCACGUGUAGCGGUGAAAUGCGUAGAGAUGUGGAGGAACACCAGUGGCGAAGGCGACUUUCUGGUCUGUAACUGACGCUGAGGCGCGAAAGCGUGGGGAGCAAACAGG